Molecule: ribosomal RNA, 447 nt
Filed under: uncultured Allobrachymonas sp.
Lineage: Bacteria; Pseudomonadati; Pseudomonadota; Betaproteobacteria; Burkholderiales; Comamonadaceae
Description: bacterial SSU rRNA
Rfam family: Bacterial small subunit ribosomal RNA
Source: RNAcentral
CGGUGGAUGAUGUGGUUUAAUUCGAUGCAACGCGAAAACCUUACCCACCUUUGACAUGGCAGGAAUCCCGAAGAGAUUGGGAGUGCUCGAAAGAGAACCUGCACACAGGUGCUGCAUGGCUGUCGUCAGCUCGUGUCGUGAGAUGUUGGGUUAAGUCCCGCAACGAGCGCAACCCUUGCCAUUAGUUGCUACGAAAGGGCACUCUAAUGGGACUGCCGGUGACAAACCGGAGGAAGGUGGGGGAUGACGUCAAGUCCUCAUGGCCCUUAUAGGUGGGGCUACACACGUCAUACAAUGGCCGGUACAGAGGGUAGCCAACCCGCGAGGGGGAGCCAAUCCCACAAAGCCGGUCGUAGUCCGGAUCGCAGUCUGCAACUCGACUGCGUGAAGUCGGAAUCGCUAGUAAUCGCGGAUCAGCAUGUCCGCGGUCGAUACGUUCCGGGUCUU